AUACACCAAAAAUAACACCCCUACCUAAAAGCUUUGGUUCCGAUGAACCUGGCAAAGUCCGUGAGCGCUUUCCCUUUCAUCAUUGAAGUCACACCUGAUACAACGGCCCAUCUAUGGCAAGUCAAUGAGCACUUUCCCUCUCAUAAUUGAAGCCAUCGACCCCUUUAGUAUGUGACAUCACCCUCUAGUCAUGCAAUUUUGGCCUUCCCAAGUCAAUAUUUCAGAUCCAACGGCUUUAAAAUCAUACCCUUACACAGAAAAGACUUGGUGGACUGGCGUUGACUGUUGGUUCUGUACUGCAGUAACCGUGUUUCUUGUGGGUAGCCAUGGAUAUGCAGGGCAAAUGAAAGCACAAUAAGUAAUCCUCAAAUUUUCACUUCUUUCCAUCCCAGUGGAUUAGUUAUAUUCUUCAAAUUAACCAAUGGAGAUAAGCGGGGAAGCGGACUCUGACAAGGCCAUUGUAGACGCGGUAACGCGUCGUAUUCGUGAAAAGCUUGAAAUGCUUAUAUCCUAUGUACGCUCUCCUAGUUGCGUUUUCCAAGUGCCUAAUCAUCUACGAAGCGUUAAUGAUGAUCCAUAUGAACCGCAGAUUGUUGCAAUUGGUCCUCUUCACCACGGUAAACCUCAUUUAAUUGCCAUGGAAGAGCACAAAAUACGAUAUCUCCAAAGCUUCCUUCGAGGAGGAGAUAAGAAUGACGUAUCAAGGUAUGUCCAGCUCAUAAGAGGGUUAGAAGAAAGUGCUCGUAAAUGUUAUGCAGAACCCUUGCACCUUUCUGAAGAUGAAUUUGUAGCAAUGAUGCUUCUUGAUGGUUGCUUUAUUAUUGAGUUUAUAUGGAAAAAUUUUGAAACUACUGUACAAGACCCUCUUUUUGGGUCGAUUCAUAUGUGGAAUAGGUUAAAGCUGGACCUGUUAUUACUUGAAAAUCAACUUCCAUUCUUCAUACUUAACAAGUUGCUUGUCACGAGCAAUAUCAAUGUGAUUCCAAACCCUGCAGAGAGCACCUUCAUUAAAAUGAUUUUGUCGGCCUAUGAGACAUAUCUACCAGGCCCUGGGUAUAAGCCAGAUCAAAAUCACUUGUACACUCGAGGAGAUGAUGCAAACCAAGAAUCUGCUGGGAUUACUGCAUGACCACUGGAAGCCUUCCCCUGAGAGAAUGGAUGCUUAUUUGGAAGGGAGAGAAAAUAUGAAAAGAUUUACACGCUGUGCCACAGAGCUCAAAGAGUCAGGGAUUAAGUUCGAGAGUUUAGAGGGAUGUAACUUGUUCGAUAUAAAGUUUGAGAAAGGAAUAAUCAAAAUCCCAAAAAUAACAAUUGAAGAUGGAACAGAGUGUGUCUUGCGAAAUCUCAUUGCAUAUGAGCAGUUAACUUCUUCCCGAAGUCCAUACUUCACUGAUUAUAUGGUAUUCAUCGAUAGCCUCAUCGAUUCUGCAAAAGAUGUGGAGAUACUUUGUUGCCAGGGGAUCAUUGAGAACUGGAAGGGUGACGAUGACACCAUUGCUAUUCUAUUGAACAAGAUUGGGGAACAAGUCUUCUGCAAUAGGGCUCUCUACGCUGAUAUACAGAAAAAUGUAGACAAACAUUGCAAAAGGCAAUGGAAUCAGUGGAUGGCCAAGUUAAGGCACGAUUAUUUUAAUAGCCCAUGGGCUCUCAUUUCUGUUUUGGCAGCUGCAAUUCUGCUCCUUCUCACCUGGACUCAAACUGUGUAUUCAGUUCUUUCUUAUUAUAAAUAAAUGCCUUUCUGAUUCAUGUUGUCAUGCACGAAAGCUCAUGUACUAAAAGUGUGUAGUUCCUAUCAUACAUGUUUGCUAAAAAGUUGAUUAAGUAAAGUCUGGUUUAAGAGCAUAUAUAUUUGUUGUGAGCUACUUCUAUAACUGUUCACUUUUUCAUUAGCAUAUAAGA
Molecule: unclassified non-coding RNA, 1899 nt
Filed under: Hevea brasiliensis (rubber tree)
Lineage: Eukaryota; Viridiplantae; Streptophyta; Magnoliopsida; Malpighiales; Euphorbiaceae
Source: RNAcentral